Non-coding RNA from Trichonephila inaurata madagascariensis, 73 nucleotides. The record is from the annotation of a GenBank genome assembly. NCBI's taxonomy places the organism in Eukaryota, Metazoa, Arthropoda, Arachnida, Araneae, Nephilidae.
GUCCCUGUUGCACAAUGGUUAGCGCGUUGGGCUUCUAAUCCAAAGGUCGUAGAUUCAAAUCCUACCUGGGGUG